UGGGGAAUAUUGGACAAUGGGGGAAACCCUGAUCCAGCAACGCCGCGUGAGGGAAGAAGGCCUUCGGGUUGUAAACCUCUGUCGAAGGGGACGAAACGGUCUUGGCUAAUAUCCAAGGCUCUGACAGUACCCUUAGAGGAAGCACCGGCUAACUCCGUGCCAGCAGCCGCGGUAAUACGGAGGGUGCAAGCGUUGUUCGGAAUUACUGGGCGUAAAGCGUGUCUAGGUGGGUUUGUAAGUCAGAUGUGAAAUCCCCCGGCUUAACCGGGGAGGGUCGUUUGAAACUGCAAAUCUUGAGUUUCGGAAAGGUGGGCGGAAUUCCCAGUGUAGCAGUGAAAUGCGUAGAUAUUGGGAGGAACAUCGGAGGCGAAAGCGGCUCACCAGCCGAACACUGACACUCAAGCACGAAAGCGUGGGGAGCAAACAGG
RNAcentral lists this ribosomal RNA (428 nucleotides) under uncultured bacterium. RNAcentral's name for it is "bacterial SSU rRNA". It matches the Rfam family "Bacterial small subunit ribosomal RNA", at positions 355 to 776 of the family's 1533-position model. The record is from RNAcentral.